CUCCGAAUGCAUCUCGAUUAGUUAUUUGAUCCUGGCUCAGAAUCAACGCUGGCGGCGUGCCUAACACAUGCAAGUCGAACGCGAAAGUCCCGCAAGGGAUAAGUAGAGUGGCAAACGGGUGAGUAACGCGUGGGCGACCUACCUUCGAGUGGGGGAUAACCUUCCGAAAGGAGGGCUAAUACCGCAUGACAUCCCGUGUUUGGAUACACGGACAUCAAAGUCGGGGAUCGCAAGACCUGACGCUUGAAGAGGGGCCCGCGUCCGAUUAGCUAGUUGGUGGGGUAACGGCUCACCAAUGGCUCCGAUCGGUAUCCUGGCCUGAGAGGGCGGACGGACACACUGGAACUGAGACACGGUCCAGACUCCUACGGGAGGCAGCAGUGGGGAAUUGUUCGCAAUGGGCGCAAGCCUGACGACUGCAACGCCUGCGUGGAGGAUGAAGACCUUCGGGUCGUAAACUCCUUUCGACCGAGAUGAAUUCCU
RNAcentral lists this ribosomal RNA (483 nucleotides) under uncultured bacterium. Its description in RNAcentral is "bacterial SSU rRNA". It matches the Rfam family "Bacterial small subunit ribosomal RNA", at positions 1 to 454 of the family's 1533-position model. The record is from RNAcentral.